GACGAACGCUGGCGGCGUGCUUAACACAUGCAAGUCGAACGAUGAAGCCUUUCGGGGUGGAUUAGUGGCGAACGGGUGAGUAACACGUGGGCAAUCUGCCCUGUACUUUGGGAUAAGCCUUGGAAACGGGGUCUAAUACCGGAUAUCACAUUCCCUCGCAUGGGGGUUUGUUGAAAGUCUGGCGGUACAGGAUGAGCCCGCGGCCUAUCAGCUUGUUGGUGGGGUAAUGCCUACCAAGGCGACGACGGUAGCCGCCUGAGAGGUGACCGGCCACACUGGGACGUGAGACACGGCCCACGACUCCUACGGGAGGCAGCAGUGGGGAAGUAUUGCACAAUGGGCGAAAGCCUGAUGCAGCGACGCCGCGUGAGGGAUGACGGCC
Molecule: ribosomal RNA, 382 nt
Filed under: uncultured bacterium
Lineage: Bacteria
Description: bacterial SSU rRNA
Rfam family: Bacterial small subunit ribosomal RNA
Source: RNAcentral